Molecule: transfer RNA, 65 nt
Filed under: Pediacus sp. MJ-2020
Lineage: Eukaryota; Metazoa; Arthropoda; Insecta; Coleoptera; Cucujidae
Description: tRNA-Ile
Source: RNAcentral
AAUGAAGUGCCUGAAUAAAGGAUUAUUUUGAUAGAAUACUUAAUGUAUAUUUUAUACCUUCAUUA